Molecule: ribosomal RNA, 253 nt
Filed under: uncultured bacterium
Lineage: Bacteria
Description: partial 16S ribosomal RNA
Rfam family: Bacterial small subunit ribosomal RNA
Source: RNAcentral
GACGUAGGGCGCGAGCGUUGUCCGGAUUUAUUGGGCGUAAAGAGCUCGUAGGCGGCUUGUUGCGUCGACUGUGAAAACCCGCGGCUUAACCGCGGGCCUGCAGUUGAUACGGGCAGGCUAGAGUUCGGUAGGGGAGACUGGAAUUCCUGGUGUAGCGGUGAAGUGCGCAGAUAUCAGGAGGAACACCGGUGGCGAAGGCGGGUCUCUGGGCCGAUACUGACGCUGAGGAGCGAAAGCGUGGGGAGCGAACAGG